CUUAAAACAUUGUUUUGUGUUUUAAGACUGGGGAAAAUUUAGUUUUGUGUUCUUUGUGGAAUCUUCCUGCAGAUUUGCUGGUGCAAUUUAUGUGCUUGUUUUUCUGUAGGUUGUAACUGUUGUGUUGAUUUCUUAGCCUUCUGUGAAGGCGUGUAAGCUGGGUGUUGUUUGUUUGAUUGUGUUUGCUUUCAAUGAAAUUACUCAUUCAUCCAAAAAAAAAUGUGAUGAACUAUAUUGGUGCUCAGAUAUUAUGAUACGAAGGGUUGCCUUUGGAGGUUGAUCUCCUAUAUGGUAUAACAGAAUAUAUAUAGUAUGGUCCACCAGUGCCUGAAGUAGGUGAAUUUUACUAGGAUUUGAAUAUGGUAGGUAAAAAAUUUCAGCUAUUCUGGCUUCUAUUAAAAUUUUAUCUCCUCGAUUGAUUUAAAUAUUUUUGAACUGCAAUGCUGAUAUUCCAUUAGAUGUCAUUGAUAUUAUUCUCCAUUUCCAUAUCUAAGGCAUUCCUUUACUAGGAUUUAAGUGUAUUAGGUAAAAGGUUUCCUCAUGCUUUUUACUCAAUUUUUGUUCAUUUUGUAUCUAUUGUAAAUGAUAUGUACACCCAACAACUUACAGUGUGGAAAAAAAUGAUAAAAUUCUCCAAACACCUGGUGUGCUUGUUUCAUUUUAUGGUAUCGGAGCAUCUAAGACUCACGUCACCUGUCCGAAAUGACAAGUCUCCGCACAUCAUCUUCUUCCUCUUCCACCCACACCACAUAAGCACGAAACUUAGUUCGUUCAUCCCUCACCAACCUCUUCAAUUUGCAAGACCUUGUCACAAUUAAGUUAACCUAUGAAAAUUACCUCCUUGGGCAGCAUGUCUUUGAAUACAUUGAUGGCACUGCCCCAUGUCCUCUACAAACCAUUGUUAAUCCAACACUGGCGAACGGCGAGCCUAGCAUAAUGAUGAAUCUAGCAUUUGUGUAGUCGAGCCAAGAAGAUCAAAUGAUCCUUAACACCCUUGAAUAACUACAAAUCAGGUUUCAACCCCAAGUCAACUACACAAUAUCAAUAAUUAUCACAAGAUAAAAUUAUUGAAAAGUAAAACAUUCAAACAUCACAAACACAAAAGCAAUGCAAGGUUUUUGAUUAUGAAGUAGAAACCCUUUGAGCACCUCAAAGGUAAAAUCAUUUUGGGGCAGUCAAACUUAGGAUAUCGCUAUAUUGAAGAAGAUUAAAAUACAAGCAUACUAGGAGAUCGCUAUAUCUGAUGAAAAUACAAGUAAGCUUGCAACCCAUCUAAAUACUUGUACCAACUGUAUGAACAACAAGCUCCCUGCUUGCCUUUGCUUUAGCUCUUCGCUAGCCAAUUUUCUUUGAGUACCUCUCCUUACUGACCCAACAAUAGACUUUUUGCAAUAAAAUGAUGCGUAUGGUGCGGUUUGAAAAAGAAUCAAACUACAAGAGAGAGAGAGCUCUAAACUUUGUUCAAAUCCUCUCUUGGAACAUAGAUGAUUAAAGCAAGAUCACUUCUAGAAGGGUUCUCUAUUGAGUGUUCUUAAUAUUCUUCCUUACCUCGAAAAUGGGCAUACUUAAGAAUAUAUAGGGUCAUGCAAAAAACCUCAAAAAUGCCUUCAAAAAAGAACAGAUCACGUUAGGACUUGAGGAUGUCCCCUUUUACGUCAGGACGUAAGCCAGGGUUUUAUUGUUAACUUCUCUAACACAGUAGACAACGUCAGCAUUUGCAGGUGACAUCUAAGUGACGAAGGUUUUUCUGUCUUCAAUUUCGUCACCACUUGUAGGUGACUUCCAGCACUCGUAUGUGACGUCCAGUUGUUGUUGGCACACA
This is a long non-coding RNA of Corylus avellana, 1822 nucleotides long. RefSeq lists it as uncharacterized. The record is from RefSeq and is a predicted model, not a curated record. NCBI's taxonomy places the organism in Eukaryota, Viridiplantae, Streptophyta, Magnoliopsida, Fagales, Betulaceae.